Molecule: ribosomal RNA, 253 nt
Filed under: uncultured bacterium
Lineage: Bacteria
Description: partial 16S ribosomal RNA
Rfam family: Bacterial small subunit ribosomal RNA
Source: RNAcentral
UACGUAGGGCGCAAGCGUUGUCCGGAAUUAUUGGGCGUAAAGAGCUCGUAGGUGGCUUGUUGCGUCUGCCGUGAAAGCCCGUGGCUUAACUGCGGGUCUGCGGUGGAUACGGGCAGACUAGAGUGUGGUAGGGGAGACUGGAAUUCCUGGUGUAGCGGUGAAAUGCGCAGAUAUCAGGAGGAACACCGGUGGCGAAGGCGGCCUGCUGGGCAGUAGCUGACGCUGAUGCGCGACAGCGUGGGGAGCAAACAGG